AGUCGAACGCUUCUUUCCUCCCGAGUGCUUGCACUCAAUUGGAAAGAGGAGUGGCGGACGGGUGAGUAACACGUGGGUAACCUACCCAUCAGAGGGGGAUAACACUUGGAAACAGGUGCUAAUACCGCAUAACAGUUUAUGCCGCAUGGCAUAAGAGUGAAAGGCGCUUUCGGGUGUCGCUGAUGGAUGGACCCGCGGUGCAUUAGCUAGUUGGUGAGGUAACGGCUCACCAAGGCCACGAUGCAUAGCCGACCUGAGAGGGU
Molecule: ribosomal RNA, 263 nt
Filed under: Enterococcus faecalis
Lineage: Bacteria; Bacillati; Bacillota; Bacilli; Lactobacillales; Enterococcaceae
Description: partial 16S rRNA
Rfam family: Bacterial small subunit ribosomal RNA
Source: RNAcentral